AAUCUUCCGCAAUGGACGCAAGUCUGACGGAGCAACGCCGCGUGAACGAUGAAGGUUUNCGGAUCNUNAAGUUCUGUUGUUAGGGNCGAAUAGGUAUCGUUGGAAUAGGGCGAUACUGUGACGGUACCGUAGGAGAACGCCACGGCUAAAUACGUGCCCGCAGCCGCGGUAAUACGUAGGUGGCAAGCGUUGUCCGGAAUUAUUGGGCGUAAAGCGCGCGCAGGCGGUCUUUUAAGUCUGAUGUGAAAUCUUGCGGCUUAACCGUAAGCGGUCAUUGGAAACUGGGAGACUUGAGUACAGAAGAGGAGAGUGGAAUUCCACGUGUAGCGGUGAAAUGCGUAGAGAUGUGGAGGAACACCAGUGGCGAAGGCGACUCUCUGGUCUGUGACUGACGCUGAGGCGCGAAAGCGUGGGGUGCAAACAG
This 424-nucleotide ribosomal RNA is filed under the name uncultured bacterium. RNAcentral's name for it is "partial 16S ribosomal RNA". It matches the Rfam family "Bacterial small subunit ribosomal RNA", at positions 360 to 775 of the family's 1533-position model. The record is from RNAcentral.